Molecule: ribosomal RNA, 1421 nt
Filed under: Enterococcus faecium
Lineage: Bacteria; Bacillati; Bacillota; Bacilli; Lactobacillales; Enterococcaceae
Description: partial 23S ribosomal RNA
Rfam family: Bacterial large subunit ribosomal RNA
Source: RNAcentral
UCCGAAUGGGGGAACCCAACAUCUUUAAUAGGAUGUUACGAUUGUGUGAAUACAUAGCACAUUCGAGGUAGACGCAGAGAACUGAAACAUCUAAGUACCUGCAGGAAGAGAAAGAAAAUUCGAUUCCCUGAGUAGCGGCGAGCGAAACGGGAAAAGCCCAAACCAGCAAGCUUGCUUGUUGGGGUUGUAGGACUCCAAUAUGGUAGUUCUUUCAGAUAGUCGAAUGACUUGGAAAAGUCAGUCAAAGAGGGUAAAAACCCCGUAGACGAAAUGUGGAAGACACCUAGGAGGAUCCUGAGUACGGCGGAACACGAGAAAUUCCGUCGGAAUCCGGGAGGACCAUCUCCCAAGGCUAAAUACUCCCUAGUGACCGAUAGUGAACCAGUACCGUGAGGGAAAGGUGAAAAGCACCCCGGAAGGGGAGUGAAAUAGAACCUGAAACCGUGUGCCUACAACAAGUCAAAGCCCGUUAAUGGGUGAUGGCGUGCCUUUUGUAGAAUGAACCGGCGAGUUACGAUUGCAUGCGAGGUUAAGUUGAAGAGACGGAGCCGCAGCGAAAGCGAGUCUGAAUAGGGCGUUUGAGUAUGUAGUCGUAGACCCGAAACCAUGUGAUCUACCCAUGUCCAGGUUGAAGGUGCGGUAAAACGCACUGGAGGACCGAACCCACGUACGUUGAAAAGUGCGGGGAUGAGGUGUGGGUAGCGGAGAAAUUCCAAACGAACUUGGAGAUAGCUGGUUCUCUCCGAAAUAGCUUUAGGGCUAGCCUCGGAAUUGAGAAUGAUGGAGGUAGAGCACUGUUUGGACUAGGGGCCCAUCUCGGGUUACCGAAUUCAGAUAAACUCCGAAUGCCAUUCAUUCAUAUCCGGGAGUCAGACUGUGAGUGAUAAGAUCCAUAGUCGAAAGGGAAACAGCCCAGACCACCAGCUAAGGUCCCAAAAUAUAUGUUAAGUGGAAAAGGAUGUGGGGUUGCACAGACAACUAGGAUGUUGGCUUAGAAGCAGCCACCAUUUAAAGAGUGCGUAAUAGCUCACUAGUCGAGUGACCCUGCGCCGAAAAUGUACCGGGGCUAAACAUAUUACCGAAGCUGUGGAGUACACCUUUAGGUGUAUUGGUAGGAGAGCGUUCUAAGGGCGUUGAAGGCAGAUCGUGAGGACUGCUGGAGCGCUUAGAAGUGAGAAUGCCGGUAUGAGUAGCGAAAGACAGGUGAGAAUCCUGUCCACCGAAUGACUAAGGUUUCCUGGGGAAGGCUCGUCCGCCCAGGGUUAGUCGGGACCUAAGCCGAGGCCGACAGGCGUAGGCGAUGGAUAACAGGUUGAUAUUCCUGUACCCGUUGUUUUUGUUUGAGCAAUGGAGGGACGCAGGAGGCUAAGGAAUGCAGACGAUCGGAAAUGUCUGUCCAAGCAGUAAGUCUGAAGAGGAGU